Schizosaccharomyces pombe (fission yeast) is the source of this 538-nucleotide non-coding RNA. The record is from the annotation of a GenBank genome assembly. Lineage: Eukaryota; Fungi; Ascomycota; Schizosaccharomycetes; Schizosaccharomycetales; Schizosaccharomycetaceae.
GCGUUUACCCAAAGUAAAGAAAAUGAUAUAAAUAUUGUUAUUUGUAAACUGUGGAUAAUAUGGGAAUCGAUGGUGUACUGGACGCGCAAAUAACGAAUUUUACGAGCCGUCCUAUUAAGAAAUACAACAGCCGAGAACAGAAGAGCAGUCACAAACCAUUUUUUAUUCCACAAUAUUAGAUUGUAUUAACACAAAUAAAAUUUUUUUUUCAAGGCAUUCUCUACAAUAUCGAAGACAUUCAACGUAUAAAGGUUAGUCUUGAUUCAAAUACUUACCCUUGUAAUUUCAAUUUAAUGUUAGACAAAGUUAUUGCCCCAACGUCUCUGGAAAACGCGGAUGCAAAUUGUGGAGGAGGCAGAACUGGAAAAAGUAUCAGCCAAUCAUCAACAUGUCUGAAAAAAAAUUCCAAGAUAUUUCUAAGCCUAGCUCGUAAAAACGGGUGACAAGACAUGUAUGGCGCUAUCGAAGUACGAAAAUAGAAAAUUGCCAGACGAUAUUAGAGUAAAAGACACAAAAAGAAUUUCAUUUAUUCACCCUA